This 153-nucleotide unclassified non-coding RNA is filed under the name uncultured Chaetothyriales. RNAcentral's name for it is "sequence contains ITS2". The record is from RNAcentral. Lineage: Eukaryota; Fungi; Ascomycota; Eurotiomycetes; Chaetothyriales.
UCAACCCUCAAGCCUGGCUUGUCAUUGGACCUCGUCGUUGAAGACGGGCCCGAAAGAUAACGACGGAGUCGUGUUCGACCCUAGAUGCAAUGAGCUUUUUUAGCACGCAUGAUAGUGAUCAAGCCGGCCUGGUCUUAACCAUUUAUUUUUCAA